UGAGACACAUUUCCCAAUGUCCCUUGUGUG
This 30-nucleotide non-coding RNA is filed under the name Rattus norvegicus (Norway rat). The record is from RNAcentral. Lineage: Eukaryota; Metazoa; Chordata; Mammalia; Rodentia; Muridae.